AUUGAACGCUGGCGGCAGGCUUAACACAUGCAAGUCGAGCGGGGUGAUGGUGCUUGCACUAUCACUUAGCGGCGGACGGGUGAGUAAUGCUUAGGAAUCUGCCUAUUAGUGGGGGACAACAUCUCGAAAGGGAUGCUAAUACCGCAUACGUCCUACGGGAGAAAGCAGGGGAUCACUUGUGACCUUGCGCUAAUAGAUGAGCCUAAGUCGGAUUAGCUAGUUGGUGGGGUAAAGGCCUACCAAGGCGACGAUCUGUAGCGGGUCUGAGAGGAUGAUCCGCCACACUGGGACGGAGACACGGCCCAGAAUCCUACGGGAGGCAGCAGUGGGGAAUAUUGGACAAUGGGGGGAACCCUGAUCCAGCCAUGCCGCGUGUGUGAAGAAGGCCUUAUGGUUGUAAAGCACUUUAAGCGAGGAGGAGGCUCUUUUGGUUAAUACCCAAGAUGAGUGGACGUUACUCCCAGAAUAAGCACCGGCUAACUCUGUGCCAGCAGCCGCCGUAA
RNAcentral lists this ribosomal RNA (503 nucleotides) under uncultured bacterium. RNAcentral describes it as "partial 16S ribosomal RNA". It matches the Rfam family "Bacterial small subunit ribosomal RNA", at positions 30 to 523 of the family's 1533-position model. The record is from RNAcentral.